Harpia harpyja (harpy eagle) is the source of this 1910-nucleotide long non-coding RNA. RefSeq lists it as uncharacterized. NCBI's taxonomy places the organism in Eukaryota, Metazoa, Chordata, Aves, Accipitriformes, Accipitridae. The transcript has 2 exons. The record is from RefSeq and is a predicted model, not a curated record.
UUCAUUUAUUGCUCGCUCUUGCAGAAAUACUACGUCAAAGUGCUCGGAGGGUACAACUGCAGUCAAACCAGCGUGUCCCCCUGCUUUAACUGUAACUCUUCCUACUUCAGUAUAAUUAAGCAUGUACUUUCUGCAUGUGUAUAAAUAGGUCCAUGCCAGAACGAGAGUCUUGUGCACCGUGGGUGGGUAAGCCAGAUGCUGGGCGCACCGGAGUCCCUGCUUCUCCGGAUAGCAGCACCAGGCGUUGUCCUCAGCCCCACCUCUGACCCAGCUGCCUUAUCGUGGUGGGUGUGUGGGUCAGGUUUGUCAUCUGCCCUUCCUGGUGCAUGCAAAUCCAGCCUACCUGGGUAUUGAAAUCAAGUUCAUUGCCGUGCUAGCUGAACACCUUAUAAGGUGACGUUAAUCAAAAAAGAAUAAUGAGCUCUCAGAUUCACCAAAGUUGGAAGUAAGGACAAAGUGCUCAAGUAAAAUGGCUCUCGUUCUAAACCGGUCCUUAUUUCUAAGGCUUCUGCAUCUACAAAACAGGAUAAAGUGGUUUUUAUUCUGUAGCAAAACACUUUGAGACUAAUGGAUGAAAAGAGCUAGGUACUGCUCAGGAAGAUGGAGAUCUUUUUUACCCUCUUUUCCUAUUCCCUUGAAAGUAAUUCCUGCCAUCCUUUGAAACAGUCUGACUAAGUCCCUAAAACUCAAGACACUUCUUCGAGAUCCUCUGACUUGCUGACUUUUCUGUCUUUCUGCGUCUACGGCGAAUCUUGCUGAACGGGUUUAACCAAAAUAAUCUCCGUGCAAACAUUCUGCAAACAGAUCAAUUCCAUAUCCUGUAUCAAACAUCCUACUUGGAGCCCACUGAAUAAAUGGAUGUCUUUGCUAUAAAAUUAUAAACCAGAACUACAUGUAGCAUCAUAACCAUAUAGAUUUGAAAUACUUCAACUUUCAGCAUAAGAGUUUUCAGUAUUGUAAUAACAGCAGUAUAAAUAGCCACAUUUUCUGAGCGUUGCAAAGGACAAGUGAUUAAGGUCAGCAACCACACACGAGUAGUUUGCCUUUGGUGCCUAAUUGAAGACUACCUGGAGCAGACUGCGAAAGGUGCAGAGUACCUGAGGCUCCCGUUAAACUGUGAUGGACUUGUGGAUGCUUUGUAUUUUCUGGUAAUCACUCUGGAGAGAUUUUAAGCUGUGCAAACUGCAAGAUAAUUUGGAAUAAGAGAAGCUCGCCUGCAGAGAGGAUAAGGCCGGUUCAAGACCACGGCGCCCGCUCCUGCAGGUAGCAAAGCUCCCUCCGAGCUCCGCGCUGUCCCGGUGGAGCGCACCCUUCCACCAGCUCGCCUUCCCAAAGCAAACCACAUACCACAGGGAUUUGCUGGGUAAACGACGAGUCACCCCUGCAAUAUCAGCGCUGGCGAGAAAGAGAGGAAGAGCUGUAAUAAGUGCUCCUCACCUUGUGUAACUCGCCACGGGAAGAUGCUUGGGUAUUUGGGAGGGUGACACACCUGAGACCCUUGCUGAGAUGUAUUAGACUGUACCAGAGAGUUGUCUGAAUUGUGAUAGAGAUAUCCAGCUCGGAGUCAAAGGGCUGGAGGAAGCCGUGAAGGCUGAGAGCAACCAGGUUGGCUCAAACCCCCUAUUCUACUGGGAGAUGCCGAGUCAUAGCUCUGCUGGAUUGGCUUCCCGCCACCUCGCUGCUCCUUUAAAACCCCAUACCUCCCAUUGAAGGAACUCGGUGUCCUGUUCGCCAGGAGGACGUCAAUGUUUCUAUGGAAACUCUUCCCAAAGAUUCUAGCUCCGCGCUGCCGCCGCUGCGUAUUGUAUGACCGGCUUUGUACACUGCAAUUCAUUAUCGAGGCUGUGACGAAAAGGGAGCAGCUUUCUGCCCGAAGGGAAAAAGCAUUAAAAAAAAACAAACCACCAAAA